GUGAAUCAUCAAAUUUUUGAACGCAAAUUGCACUUUCUGGUAUUCCGGAAAGUAUGCCUGUUUGAGGGUCAGUUUAAUAACAAUCGGUGUUGUUGCUGCUUUUCGUGGUGUCGCCUCGGCGUUGAGUUGUCUUACCUUCGGUUAAGUGACUUAAACUUUUGCAUGCUUUUCUAACUUAUUUAAAUUUCUUCCGUACGUUUGAUAUAUCUAAUCCUUUAUUUUGUUCGGUCAUCCUCAUGAUUCGCACCUAUAAUUUUUCCUUAACUGACCUCAU
This 274-nucleotide unclassified non-coding RNA is filed under the name Glomus sp. RNAcentral describes it as "partial contains 5.8S ribosomal RNA and internal transcribed spacer 2". The stretch from base 1 to 71 matches the Rfam family "5.8S ribosomal RNA", at positions 84 to 154 of the family's 154-position model. Lineage: Eukaryota; Fungi; Glomeromycota; Glomeromycetes; Glomerales; Glomeraceae. The record is from RNAcentral.